RNAcentral lists this ribosomal RNA (497 nucleotides) under uncultured bacterium. RNAcentral's name for it is "partial 16S ribosomal RNA". It matches the Rfam family "Bacterial small subunit ribosomal RNA", at positions 28 to 507 of the family's 1533-position model. The record is from RNAcentral.
GAUGAACGCUGGCGGCGUGCCUAAUACAUGCAAGUCGAGCGAACAGAUAAGGCGCUUGCUCCUUUGACGUUAGCGGCGGACGGGUGAGUUACACGUGUAUAACCUACCUAUAAGACUGGGAUAACUUCGGGACAGCGGCGCUAAUACCGGAUAACAUAUUGAACCGCAUGGUGCGAUAGUGAAAGGCGGCUUUGCUGGCUGUUAUCGAUGGAUACGCGCCGUAUUAGCUAGUUGGUAAGGUAACGGCUUACCACGGCAACGAUUCGUAUCCGACGUGAGGGGGGGGUAGCCCACACUAGAGCGGGGACGCGGUCCAGGCUCCUACGGGAGGCAGCAGUAUGCUACGGUCCGCAAUGGGGGAAAGCAUGACGGAGCAAGGCCGCGUGAGUGAUGAAGGUCUUGGGAGCGUAAAACUCUGUUAUCAGUGAAGAACAAAUGUGUAAGUAACUGUGCACAUCUUGACGGUACCUGAUAAGAAAGCCACGGCUAACUACGUG